Molecule: ribosomal RNA, 1328 nt
Filed under: uncultured bacterium
Lineage: Bacteria
Description: bacterial SSU rRNA
Rfam family: Bacterial small subunit ribosomal RNA
Source: RNAcentral
GAUGAACGCUGGCUGUGUGCCUAAUACAUGCAUGUCGAGCGGAGUUCUUCGGAACUUAGCGGCGAAUGGGUGAGUAACACGUACUUAACGUGCCCUCUAGAUUGGGAUAACGAUGAGAAAUUAUCGCUAAUACCGGAUACUUAUUAGUUUGGCAUCAAACUAAUAUAAAAGGAGCGUUUGCUUCACUAGAGGAUCGGGGUGCGGAACAUUAGUUUGUUGGUAAGGUAAUGGCUUACCAAGACGAUGAUGUUUAGCGGGGUUGAGAGACUGAUCCGCCACACUGGGACUGAGAUACGGCCCAGACUCCUACGGGAGGCAGCAGUAGGGAAUUUUCCACAAUGGACGAAAGUCUGAUGGAGCGACACAGCGUGCAGGAAGACGGCCUUCGGGUUGUAAACUGCUGUUAUAAGGGAAGAAAAAGCAGUAGAGGAAAUGCUAUUGCCUUGACGGUACCUUGUCAGAAAGCAACGGCUAACUAUGUGCCAGCAGCCGCGGUAAUACAUAGGUUGCAAGCGUUAUCCGGAAUUAUUGGGCGUAAAGCGUCUGUAGGUUGUGUGUUAAGUCUGGCGUUAAAACUUGGGGCUCAACCCCAAAUUGCGUUGGAUACUGGCACGCUAGAAUUGUGUAGAGGUUAGCGGAAUUCCUAGUGAAGCGGUGAAAUGCGUAGAUAUUAGGAAGAACACCAACAUGGCGAAGGCAGUUAACUGGGCACAUAUUGACACUGAGAGACGAAAGCGUGGGGAGCAAACAGGAUUAGAUACCCUGGUAGUCCACGCUGUAAACGAUGAUGAUUAGCUGAUAGAAAACUAUCGGCGCAGCUAACGCAUUAAAUCAUCCGCCUGAGUAGUAUGCUCGCAAGAGUGAAACUUAAAGGAAUUGACGGGGACCCGCACAAGCGGUGGAGCAUGUGGUUUAAUUUGAAGAUACGCGUAGAACCUUACCCACUCUUGACAUCUUCCGCAAUGCUAUAGAGAUAUAGCGGAGGCUAACGGAAUGACAGAUGGUGCACGGUUGUCGUCAGCUCGUGUCGUGAGAUGUUCGGUUAAGUCCUGCAACGAGCGCAACCCUUAUCCUUAGUUAAAUGUUCUAGGGAGACUGCCCGAGUAAUUGGGAGGAAGGUGGGGACGACGUCAAAUCAUCAUGCCUCUUACGAGUGGGGCAACACACGUGCUACAAUGGAUAGUACAAAGAGAAGCAAUACGGUGACGUGGAGCAAAUCUCAAAAAACUAUUCUCAGUUCGGAUUGUAGUCUGCAACUCGACUACAUGAAGUCGGAAUCGCUAGUAAUCGUAGAUCAGCUACGCUACGGUGAAUACGUUCUCGGGUCU